GAUAGGAAUACGGCAAAAGGUCAACCCAGUUACCACCAAUCUCAAACGUACAUUUAGUUAAAAAUCUUUUUUAAAGUUGUAGCCACCAUCUCUGCCUUUCCUGAUCUCUGAGGAUGAUACAUGCAGUGAAGUUUCUAAUUUAUGUUAUGAUUCUCACAGAGCAAUUAAGAUAGAUAACUUGGCUAUGAAGGCUGGUCCACUGUCAGACCCCAGAGAUAUGGGGAAGCCAAAUCUGGAAAUAAUUUCCAUUAUUAAUUUUUAGCCAGUUGGUGGUAGUACACACCUUUAAUCCCAGCACUCCGGAGGCAAAGGCAGGUAGAUCUCUGUGAGUGUGAGGCCAGACUGGACCAAUACAGAGCAAGUUACAGGACAGCAAGGGCCACACAGAGUAACUCUGUCUCAGAGAGAGAGAGAGAGAGAGAGAGAGAGAGAGAGAGAGAGAGAAGAAAACGAAAAAUUCUUAGCUCCUAGGUUCUUUCUAUUAGGGAUGGAAAGGCCUCUGCUCAGGAAAGACCAGCAGAUAUUUAUAGCCAUAUAGUCCUGGCUUGACUUCAGUAAAGUUUAAUUCUCAGAAUACACCUGGUACAUUUUGUUGAUGCCAUUGUCCUGGGAGAACCAUGUCCUUCUUUGCAUUUGCCUGGAUACAGAUCAGGCAUUGAUCUGGAAGUUUUUCUCAGUGUCCAUAUAUCCAGACAUGAGGGGAGAUGAGCUCUGAAAUCUUAGGAGACAAGUGCAUGGAGUGAUGCUAAGCUUGAGCCAGUUUUGGCCCAGUACCUUUGCCAUGCAGAAUCUUCCAUCAGUCAAGAUCCACCAUCCUUGAGGCUCUCCUGAACCCCCAAAUCAGAAUAUGACUUGAUCUCUUCUGGAUCAUCUUUAUGGAGGCAGAGUUGGGGUUCAGGGACAGCAGAUAGUUCCAGGAUGCUCUGAGUUUGGGUUGCCCAAGAGCAGCCUCUUUGGUGACUUGAUUUGCACAGCUGUUACCUACCUUGAGUUUGGGAGCUUUUACCUUUUUGGUGUCUUGGCCAGUGUCUUACAGCAAGCUCUGCUGGCAGCCAGAUGGCCUCCAGCAACUGGACAAGUUCGUGUUUGUUUAUCGUAGUCUCUUUCUCUGAGGUGAGUAAGCACCUCUCUUUACAUAUCUGUUCAUGAGCAUAAGCCAUAACAAGCAGAUUGACUGUCUGUGUCCACUUUUUCCCCCUUCAGCCCACCUUAAAGCCUAUAUUAGAGUGAUUAUAUCUGCUUUCAGGGUACUUGUGCCCCCAGGCAAGGCUUGUGCUCAAAUGAUCUACCUUUUUCUAGCCUGUGACCACCACUGUCCCCAGGUACCAUCUCAACUGAAGCUGCACCAUCUGUGUAGAGGGCAUCUGCAUCUAUGGUGGUGAGUGGAAUGUCUGCCAGGUCUGGUAGAGUGUCUUGGAUGACAUCCAGCAUCUCCAGGAAGUCAUGGAUGGACUCCUCAGGCAGCUGGUGGCUGGAUGGUGGAAUUGAUGGCCAAAGAUUUAUCAAAGUGUGCAUUCAACUGCCCAUAUUAAUACAGAACGGAGAGAGUACAAGGGAUGGAGACAGUAAAACCAAAACCAAAACCAAGGCAUACAAAGAGAAGACGAAUGAGACACAAAACCAGAUCAGGGACCUCAGGUGAGCAGUGCAACAUCUCACUUUUUACCCUGGAGAGUAGUGAGUCUUCAGAGACCCCUUCUCAUACCAGAUCAGGAACCCAAACAAAUAAGAUGACACAGAAACUGCUGAGACUUACCAGAGAGGCCUCCCUCCAUGCUUGGUGCUUUUCCUAGCUUGGUAGUUCAUUCUGAUAGACCAAGAAAUCAAAAGCAUGCCAAGCAGCCUUGGAAUGUCCCCAGGUGGAUACCUCCUGAGGUGGCCCUUCAACCCUAGAUUCUGAGAGUGAAGAUAAAGGUUUAGAAUUUGGGUAGGUGGUCUUAUCUCACUGAGGCAUCCAGAAAAAGUUAGUUCCAGUGAUCAAGAAUAAGAACACUACCACAAUUUUUGAGUCAGACUUGAAGUAAACUUUACCUAUUAGGAUGCACCAGAGAGCUGACCAACAACUGCCUCCUAAAUCAGGUUAGAGACAGAGAAGUACAGAGUCCAUUUCUCAGGACCCUUUAAAGGAGCAUGAACAGUUACAAAGCAGGUUUAUAGAAUGGAGACAAUGGGACAGUUGGAGUACAGAAAAAUCUCAACAAAAGAAAACAGCCAUUAUCAUGUGGCCACUGAUCAAGGAGAGUCAGGGUGCUCUCAAAGACAAGUCAAGGUCAUGAAUUGGGGCAGGUCAGAUGCUAGGAAACAAACAAAAACUCAACUUAGAGUCAGCGAAAAUUUAUUUUUUAGCAAUACAACAAAAUGGAUCCUGCUUUCAAAAUGGAGUCGGGCAGAAUCUUGUGUUAGUCAAAAGAGGGCCAAAAAGUGAAUGCUUUAAGGCCAAAUGUGAUGACCCAAAUCUGCCAUCCCAGUACAUAGAUGAUGAAAACAGGAAGGUCAGGAGUUCAAGAUCAUCCUUGGCUACAUACCUAGUCCCAGGCUAACCUGGACCAGAGAAACCUUGCCCCGCCCCCAUUCCCCAAAGUGAAUGCAUUAGGGAUAGAAUACAGAUAAAUGACCCAAGGAAACAAUAAUCCAUUACUCAACAAGUUAGUGCAAAAAAUGCAUGAAGGAGAUUAUCAAUGUUUUUAAGACCCCUAGAUUAUUGUUGGAAGCUGAUGAACAGGAAGUGAUUUGAGCUUUGAGCUCAGAAGACAAUUUGUGCAGCAGACUACUGGAGGGCAUUGUCUUGGGACUUGAAAGCAAAACAGACAAUCAGCUCCGUUGCUGGCUGAGUGCCCUGACAACCAUUAUUUACGCUGUCAGACAGAGGCUUUCCUACAGGAUUCUACAAAGAGCCAGGAGUUUCAGAGAUUCAAACUGGUCACACAGUGGAAAUGGCUAAAAUGAGGAAGUCGACUUCAUGCUGUUGCUUGCCAAGGAUUCCUGGCAUGUGCUGCAGUUGGGGUAACAGUCAGCUUACUCUACACAGAAGACAAAGGCAACGGACUGGAAAAGACCGACGAGAGGACACAUUGGAAUGAAGGCGAAAAAACACCAACACUGGCCAGAGAUGAGAGGCAGACAGGCAUGAAGCAGUUAAACAAACAAGACAGCUUGAAUUGGAGGUACUGGGAUUAGAGUGGGUCAUCCUCCUUUAAUUCCAUUUCUUUUUUGUUUGUUUGUUUGUUUGUUUUUUUCAGAGCUGGGGACCGAACCCAGGGCCUUGUGCUUGCUAGGCACGCGCUCUACCACUGAGCUAAAUCCCCAACCCCUUAAUUCCAUUUCUUUUAUCUCAUGUUGGUCUUUUUCUCCCCAAUUCAUGAUUGCACCAAAUAAUCUAGGGAAGGACUUUCCAUCAACAAAAUACCAAUCCUCGGGUGUAAAUUAUUGCACUCCUGAUGUGAUUCCCAAGAGUAUUUGCACUGGCGAGCUGUGUGAACGUGGGUGAGUGUCUUGACUUUUCUGGGCCUCUUUCCCUAUCGGUGGAAAGACGAUGAAAUUCUUACUUACCAUGUGGGAUUCUUAUGGAAGUGAAAUUGAGAAGGCUAGGCUGACUCCAUGACAGGCUUCAAAUUGGCAGUUCAGGAUUGGGCAAGCUCAGUCAAGUCCAAGCCUCAGAAGCUGCCCCAUCACCUGGCCUGAGGUAAGGACAAUGGGUCAGCAGCAGUUUCAGACUUCUUCAGCUACUUUUUCAGCAAUAAUUCCAGACCUCCACACCCCAGUAAUGGAAUGUCCUAGAGAUGGAGUAAGAUAAAGGUCACCUACCCAGAAUGCCCUAAUGUGCUUUAAAUCAGGCCUGCAAGCUCACUUGUCUCUCUAUCUUGGUAAUGGGAGACCCCAGCAUGCUGGACUUCUACAGAAUAAAGCACUCUUUGCAUUUAUGUACUAUUCGAGUUCAGAGUGUCAUUCUUCAGCAAAUCAUGGGCCCUUACACUUGGAGGCUCAUCUGGGAUUUGCUAGAGAUGCCCCCUGACCCAAAAAUGGAAUGUUUUUCCGACCAGUAAGUCUGGGCACCUGGUUGUCUUUUGUCUUGUCCAUAUCUCUUUUGGGGGGGGGGGGUUAAUUCAGCUUCAGAUUUAAUCUGGAGGCCAAGAGGGGCAAAGUAGACAUGUAUUUUGUUAUCCAGCCAAGGGCAAUGGAGGUUGUUCCUGACCCCCUACCAGAAGCUGAAGAGCUUUCUAGUUGUCAUCUGGUUUUCAAACUGUGGGUCUGUGGACCUCCCAUGCACAGGGAGGAAGACUGGCUGAGACAGUCUUUGGUUUGGUUUAGCUUUCUGGGAACGUCCCUUUGUCUUGUGUACUGUUUGUGCUUUUCGUCCUCUCCUACAAUUUUUUUCUUUGGUUCUUAGGGUGGAACAGGAACAAAGCACCCCACUAGGUUCAGUCCUGAACCCCAUUCAGGACUUUCACCGAGUCACAGAAGACUUGGUUCUGGUUGUCUGUCACUGCAAAUUAACUAACCAUCUUUUGCAGGAAUGAAUGGCCCUCCAGUAGCCUGAGGAGGGGACUUUUCAUCUCCCUGCCUGUCAUUCACAGGGUGAAGGUUUAGUUUAAGAGACCUGGGGCCACCCGGACCAAGUUCCACAUAUCACCACAUGGCAAUACCUGAUGGAGAAGCCCCUUGUUUUGGAUGAAACCUUUUUUUUUUUUUUUUUUUUUUUUUGUUACGGGCUCUGCCACUCCCCACCUUUCUUUCUCCAAAGGAGGGUCAGCCACCGCCCCCUCCCUAGCUCCACCUUUAUGCCCUGAGGAGCAUCUCUGUCUCCCCUCCUAUGUUCCUGCUCCUGCACUGCUGCUGGUUCCCAACAGCAUGAGGACUUGGGUGAGUACCUGUGGGCCCAUCCCCAAAUAAUGUGUUCCAGUAUGUAUUGCAGGGGCCUCUGACUUGGAGACAUGGUAGGAGGCCACACGAGCUGAGUCAACUUGGCUACCAAGUAUCUGCUAAGAAGGCCCAGUUUUGUCAACCAGGUCACCUACCUGCUGUACAUAUUCAAGGGGUGGUAGCCUGUGAUGGUUUGUGUAUGCUGGGCCUGGGGAGUGGCACUGUUGGGAGUUGUGGCCUUGUUGGAGUAGGUGUGGCCUUGUGGAUGUGGGGCUUUAAUACCCUUGUCUUUGUUGCCUGGGAGUCUAUUCUGCUAGCAGCCUUCAAAUGAAGAUAUAGAGCUCUCAGCUCCUCCUGCAUCAUGCCUACGUAGAUGCUGCCAUGCUCCUGCCUUGAUGAUAAUGGACUGAACCUCAGAACCUAUAUGCAGCAUGAUUGCUCUAUAGCACAUAUCCAGAACAUCAGGCUGGACUUGACUGACAAACGCUGGCCAAACACAGAAGGCCUCUACUUCACGGAUGGGAGCAGCUUCAUCCAGAAUGGAAUCAUGUUUGCAGGGGCAGAGGUGUCUUUUCAGGAUGGGCAGAAGCCUACCCUACAAAGAAGGAGAGUACCAAUGUAGUGGCAGAGAGGCUUCUGGAAGACAUUAUACCCAGGUGACAAAGUCUGGAUUAAGCGGCAUAACCACAAGGCUUUGGAACCUUGCUGGAAAGGGUCUGACACUGUGAUCCUGACCACACCUUUGACUGUUAAGGUGGAUGGGAUCAGGAUGUGGAUACACCUCCCAUGUUCAGCCUGCCAGGAGACAAAAUCCAGUAAUUAAAGUCCCAGCAGAGGAGACUUCCAGGGGAUGUCACAAGAAUGAUGGAAGGUCACCCUACACCCUGUCAGUCUGCCGAGUCUGUGACUCCAGUGUCCUGAUCCUGCUUGCUAGCUGCUGCUUCUUUGCUGCACCAGCCACUGGCCCCUUACUAUCUGGGUACCCCUAAGGGGUGAUACAACAACCUUGUCAUCAACGUCACAGUGUCUAGCAGGAAGACUGAUUAGACUGCCGGUUCUUAACUCCUCUUACCGGACAGGGACUCUGCAUUGAAAAUAAGGUACCCCCAUCCUAUUCCCACCUCUGCAACUGCACUGUAACCCCUACUGUUACAGGAUACAUGCUGUCCCCAGAGAACGCUUGGUGGGCUUGUACCUGGGGCUUACUCCAUGCAUUUAUGGCCUGAUUGUAAAUACGACUGAAGAUCUUUCAGCUUGUACCCAGAGUGACUAAUUACUCUGGGGAGGAUAUCGUCAACCAGCUAGCACCUCCAAACAAUUGAGUUAAUAGGGUGGCCAUUUCUGUUGUAUUACUAGGUUCUCCCCUUGGCAUAGGGCUGGCUGGAGCUGCCCCAACACCAGGCCUGAGGUAAGGACAAUGGCUCAGCAGCAGUUUCCAGCCUCUACACCCCAGUAAUGGAGUGUCCUAGAGAUGGAGUAAGAUAAAGGUCACCUACCCAGAAUGCCCUAAUGUGCUUUAAGUCAGGCCUGCAAGCUCACUUGGUUGUCUUUCUAUCUUGGUAAUGGGAGACCCCAGCAUGCUUGGCUUCUGCAGAAUAGAACACUCUUCGUGUUUACAUACUAAUUGAGUCAAGGGUGUCAUUCUUUGGCUAACCAUGGGCCCUUACAAAAUGAGAAUGCAGAAGCUGUUAGCAGUGUGCGGUCUGUGCAUUCCACACACUAAGUAAAUGGAGUAAGUAAAUGUUAAUUUUGUCCUCACCCGGUGUGGACCACAUUGGUUUUUAUGGAACUCUGGCCCAGUGUACCCUAGCCUUUGACACAUAACUAAAUGGAUAUGGCCAUUUUCUUGCGCUGAUCUUUGAGAACAGAGAUGCCGGCCUUCCAUUUGGUCUAUGCCGCUUGUUUCUUCCAGUCAGCCACAGACCCUAUUCUGAGGUACCAUUCUGAAGGUACCAUACUGUCAACUGAUGUAGCACAGAGUUUCACAUGGGUGCUGCCCCACAUGUGAGCCCAGAAUAUGGUUUCAUGUCUCUUCCACCAAAGUUUUCCCGGCAAAAUGAAGAAGUCCCCUGAGCACUUCAGGGCUCGCAAGGCUUUCCUCACAGGCCGCAGGCCUCCAUCAUCGAUCUGAGCUUCCAUCACUGAAAUCUAACUUCAAGAAAAGAACUCACCAAGAUGAGCCCAUUAAAAUUUUCCAAACUUCUGCAUGGUCAGAAUCCUUUGGUGAUCAUGAAGAAACAAACAAAUAAACAACAACCUGCCUGCUAUGUACAGGCUGGAUUCCAUUAUUUAAUUAAUGUAAGUCCACAAUGACAGCUGGGAAUCUGUGUGAGAAACUUCUGUCCCCUCUGUGUUAUUCAGAAACCAAAGGAGAGCUGUAGAGUGGGACAAGGGAGCAUAGCGGGGCUAAACAUAAGCUAAGUAUACUUUUCAUAAUGAAGCUUGUGCUGUCCAUCGACGACAAUUAGUUAAAAUACAUGAAAUUUUUUUGGUUUAUUUUGUUUGUUUUAUUUGUUUUUGAGACAAGGUUUCUUUGUGUGGUCCUGUUUGUCUUGGAACUUUCUUUGUACACUAGGCUGGCCUUGGUCUCAUAGAUCUGCCCACCUCUGCCUCCUGACUGCUGGGAUCAAAGAUGUGCGGCAUCACUGCCUAGAUUGGUGGUUGUUUGUUUUUGAGACAGAUCUCUCUACAUAGCUCUGGCUGUCCUGGCCCUCACUAUUUUGUCCAGCCUGGCCUCAAACUCAUAGAGAUCCACCUGCCUCUGCCUCCUAAGGGCUGGGAUUAAAGGCAUACAUCUCUGUACCCACUUAAAAACAUUAUUUUUUGUUUUUUUGAAGACAGGGUCUCACUAUCUAGUUUUUGUUGGCCUAGAGCUCCGUAGGUAGACCAGGCUAGCCUUAAACUCAGACAUCCACCUACCUUUGCCUCCUGAGUACUAGCCUUAAAGGUGUGCACUAUCUUCACUGGCAAAAACAUUUUAAGUGAGCAAAACUC
Rattus norvegicus (Norway rat) is the source of this 7854-nucleotide non-coding RNA. The record is from RefSeq and is a predicted model, not a curated record. Lineage: Eukaryota; Metazoa; Chordata; Mammalia; Rodentia; Muridae.